UGUAUCGGAAGCCUGACGAGGAUGAGAACCUCCGGGGGCAAGAGGUUCGACCCGAGCGAAGCGAGAGAACGUUGCGUCAGCAACGGCCCGCAGGGCGAGCCACGCAGUGGCGAGUCAUCCUCUAUCACCGGCAG
Molecule: small RNA, 134 nt
Filed under: Salmonella enterica
Lineage: Bacteria; Pseudomonadati; Pseudomonadota; Gammaproteobacteria; Enterobacterales; Enterobacteriaceae
Also listed under: 7 other names
Description: RtT sRNA
Rfam family: RtT RNA
About the family: This family represents a bacterial cis-regulatory element known as RtT RNA. The exact function of RtT is unknown although it is thought that it may be involved in changing the cellular response in relation to amino acid starvation.
Source: RNAcentral